CAGAAAAUAGUUUAUUUAAAAUAUUAGUUUUGGAGACUAAUGAUAGGGGGUUUCCUUUUUUCUGA
This 65-nucleotide transfer RNA is filed under the name Simulium equinum. RNAcentral describes it as "tRNA-Pro". The record is from RNAcentral. Lineage: Eukaryota; Metazoa; Arthropoda; Insecta; Diptera; Simuliidae.